This 1441-nucleotide ribosomal RNA is filed under the name uncultured organism. RNAcentral describes it as "SSU rRNA". It matches the Rfam family "Bacterial small subunit ribosomal RNA". The record is from RNAcentral.
CAGGAUGAACGCUAGCUACAGGCUUAACACAUGCAAGUCGAGGGGCAGCAUGGUCUUAGCUUGCUAAGGCCGAUGGCGACCGGCGCACGGGUGAGUAACACGUAUCCAACCUGCCGUCUACUCUUGGACAGCCUUCUGAAAGGAAGAUUAAUACAAGAUGGCAUCAUGAGUCCGCAUGUUCACAUGAUUAAAGGUAUUCCGGUAGACGAUGGGGAUGCGUUCCAUUAGAUAGUAGGCGGGGUAACGGCCCACCUAGUCUUCGAUGGAUAGGGGUUCUGAGAGGAAGGUCCCCCACAUUGGAACUGAGACACGGUCCAAACUCCUACGGGAGGCAGCAGUGAGGAAUAUUGGUCAAUGGGCGAGAGCCUGAACCAGCCAAGUAGCGUGAAGGAUGACUGCCCUAUGGGUUGUAAACUUCUUUUAUAAAGGAAUAAAGUCGGGUAUGGAUACCCGUUUGCAUGUACUUUAUGAAUAAGGAUCGGCUAACUCCGUGCCAGCAGCCGCGGUAAUACGGAGGAUCCGAGCGUUAUCCGGAUUUAUUGGGUUUAAAGGGAGCGUAGAUGGAUGUUUAAGUCAGUUGUGAAAGUUUGCGGCUCAACCGUAAAAUUGCAGUUGAUACUGGAUAUCUUGAGUGCAGUUGAGGCAGGCGGAAUUCGUGGUGUAGCGGUGAAAUGCUUAGAUAUCACGAAGAACUCCGAUUGCGAAGGCAGCCUGCUAAGCUGCAACUGACAUUGAGGCUCGAAAGUGUGGGUAUCAAACAGGAUUAGAUACCCUGGUAGUCCACACGGUAAACGAUGAAUACUCGCUGUUUGCGAUAUACUGCAAGCGGCCAAGCGAAAGCGUUAAGUAUUCCACCUGGGGAGUACGCCGGCAACGGUGAAACUCAAAGGAAUUGACGGGGGCCCGCACAAGCGGAGGAACAUGUGGUUUAAUUCGAUGAUACGCGAGGAACCUUACCCGGGCUUAAAUUGCAGAUGAAUUACGGUGAAAGCCGUAAGCCGCAAGGCAUCUGUGAAGGUGCUGCAUGGUUGUCGUCAGCUCGUGCCGUGAGGUGUCGGCUUAAGUGCCAUAACGAGCGCAACCCUUGUUGUCAGUUACUAACAGGUUCCGCUGAGGACUCUGACAAGACUGCCAUCGUAAGAUGUGAGGAAGGUGGGGAUGACGUCAAAUCAGCACGGCCCUUACGUCCGGGGCUACACACGUGUUACAAUGGGGGGUACAGAGGGCCGCUACCACGCGAGUGGAUGCCAAUCCCCAAAACCUCUCUCAGUUCGGACUGGAGUCUGCAACCCGACUCCACGAAGCUGGAUUCGCUAGUAAUCGCGCAUCAGCCACGGCGCGGUGAAUACGUUCCCGGGCCUUGUACACACCGCCCGUCAAGCCAUGGGAGCCGGGGGUACCUGAAGUGCGUAACCGCGAGGAGCGCCCUAGGGUAAAACUG